AAUUAUAUUAAAAUUUUAAACUAACAUCUUAUUAUAAAAAUAUUUCAUUUAAAAGGAUGAAAAUUUGUAAAUUAUGUAAUAUUUUUAACACAAAACAAAACUGUUAACAUAUGUUAGAAAUCACAGUAAUUUAUUAUCUAAAAAUGAUUAUAUAAAAAAUAUAGAAGUACAUAGCUAACCAUUAGUUAAAGUGUUAUAAAAUAUGGGAUUUGAAAACUUUGAAAUUUUAAUAUUUCAUUAAAAAUACUAAUGAGAAAUGAUUUUUAACUAUAAAUUUAAUGUUUAUUUUAAUAGUAAAAAAUAGGUUGAGACAUAUAAAAGAAAAUAAAAUCAAAAUUCACAAAAUUUUCAAGCUCAAAAUAAUUAUGUAAUUUUAUAAAAUUUCUCUUGACCGAAUAUACAAUUUUGAAAAUAAAUAUUUCUAACACACAUGAUAAUAUAAAAAAAUUACAAAAUAUAAGAUCAUAGAUGCUAAAGUAUAAAUUUUUUGAAAUGCAACAUGAGUAAACAAUAAUGUUGUGAAAAUCAAAGUGGUAUUAAUAUUUAUAAAAUUAAGUUAAUAACAAAAAAUCAAAAAACUUAAUAUUAUAACAUCCAAAAUAUCAUAUAUCAAUAAAAUAUACUAAAAUAAUAUGAUUUAUGCUCUAUGAGUAGAAUUUACUAAAAUAAUACGGUUAACUUGCUUAAAUUGGACAAUGUGUUUAUUGAUAAAAUCCCGCAAUAUACUAAACUGAUAGAUGCUAAAGUAUAUUUUUAAAGACAACAUGGAAAUUUAAGUUAUCCUAAACAAAUAUCCUCUCUAUAGUAUAAAUAAAUAAAAUUUUAAAAUGUAUCGUAUACAAACAGUAAUAUUAUAUAUAUAUAUAUAUUUUGAAGGAGAUUCUGUAUUCUAUUAUUUCAUAUUAUGAAUUCUUAUACUCAACUAAAAAAUAUAUUAGAAUGUAAUAAAAAUUAAUAACAAAAUAAAAUAUAAAAAAUAAAUUAUUAUGUAUUAAAAAUGUCAAAUAAAAAACUUAACCAAUAAGAUUAUAGAGUUAUAUAAUAUAUAACACUAAAUUGUAAAUCAUAUAUUUAAAACAUUUGCAAUAAUAUCAAAGUUAACAUUUAUAAAAUCAAAAGUUAUCCGCAUGGACGUGCGGAUCAAAGUUUAUAUCUGCUUUGGAUUGAAUUUUUCGUAAAGUUAAGAAACUCACAAUUAAAUACUAAUAUUAAUAUAUACAUACACAUAUAUAUAUAUAUAUAAUAUUUUUGAUAACUUUGGUGUGAUCGCAAAGAUUUUUUAGGCCCAAGAACUAAUCACCAAGAGAUCCACAAAAAUCCAGAUUUUCUUGCCACUUAAGGCGUCCAUGGGUGGCUAAGGGGAAUCGAACUCAGGACGGAAGUUCCAACUGGAACCCUGUUACCACUAGGCCAAGACCACUUGGAUAUACACAUAUAUUAGAGAAUUUCAAUGUUAGAAUCCCCAUUCGAGAUGCUCUAACAUCCUACUAAUAUCCGAAGAAACUCAAGCCUAGGAAUAAAAUAAAAUCUUCAAAAUAGAUGAAAAUUUUAUAAUAUCUACAAAUACUCUCAUAUUGUAAGGGAUAUACGCCCGUCUACUACUAUAAAUACAACUAGGUUUUUAUCUAUGCUUCGAAAGCGUGACUUUUUUGGAUUAUAAAUAAAAUUUGAUAUAAAUUAAUAUUUUGAAAUCUAUACUAUUUAAAAAGAAACAUUAUGAAAUCCAUUAGUUCACAAACUUGUCUUUGUAACACAAAACUAUAUAUAUAUAUUUUUUCGAAGUAAUAAGAUAAAAAAAAUCCGCACAUGAUGCUUAUUAAAGUCUAGUAGUCAUUAGUAAAAGUCUAGUAAAAGGUUAAAAGUAACGUCAACUUGUCCGUCAACUGGUCCAUUACAUUAAAUUUCUGUAGCGUAGGGCUCGGGAUUCCACUUACCAUGUUUUCGGGGGUACAUCAUAAGCCAAAUCAAGAAUGUAACGAUAAUAAUAAAAAGAAAGGUAAAAAUAAUCUAUAUUAUUAAAACUCAA
Long non-coding RNA from Brassica rapa (field mustard), 2026 nucleotides. RefSeq lists it as uncharacterized. Lineage: Eukaryota; Viridiplantae; Streptophyta; Magnoliopsida; Brassicales; Brassicaceae. The record is from RefSeq and is a predicted model, not a curated record.